GCUGGGCGUGGUGGCUCACUCCUGUAAUCCCAGCACUUUGGGAGGCCGAGGCAGGUGGAUCACCUGAGGUCAGGAGUUCAAGACCAGCCUGACCAACAUGGUGAAACCCUGUCUCUA
RNAcentral lists this non-coding RNA (117 nucleotides) under Gorilla gorilla gorilla (western lowland gorilla). Lineage: Eukaryota; Metazoa; Chordata; Mammalia; Primates; Hominidae. The record is from Rfam by way of RNAcentral.